This 23-nucleotide non-coding RNA is filed under the name Rattus norvegicus (Norway rat). Lineage: Eukaryota; Metazoa; Chordata; Mammalia; Rodentia; Muridae. The record is from RNAcentral.
UGAUACUUUAUGUCAGACAACCC